GAUGGUUAGAUUCCAAGAUCACUUAUCUCUGUUAAAUCUACUACCUGGAGACGGCAGCUGGGAGAUAGUUCGCACCAGAGAUGGCAAGGGAGAAGCUGGGAGCUGGAAGUUUUCUACUGGUGGUGUGCUGCUGAGCUGGGGCAAGAGACUAACUCCUUAGAUCUAUUAAAUCUCAAUGAGUUAAAUGAUUUUGUGACAAGCAAAUAUUGGGGAAAUACCAUUUCCAGUGAGACCCUGAAGGACACAGCAGAUUGGCAAAUGAAUAUACAGUUUUCACAGGGGCGUGGCACGCCAUGGAGGUCAGGGUGCCGGGCACUUGAGGAAACGCCAGGCUUAGUCAGGAGGCAGAGGAAGUGAGCGGAAAAUGUGGAUGAUGGCUGAUGCAUCCUGACAUGGUUGAAUUAACAUGCACAGGAAUCCCAGAGGAGAGUGCUGAGCAAGCUGAGAUACUGAAGCCCCCGCCAGCUGGAGGAGGAUGACCGCAUGAUGACCAGACUGAAGCCAUGACAUAAGCUGCUCCACUUCACACAAUUCCGAGAACUGGCCUCAAAGAAAUGGGAACAAACCCCGGAACUAAAGGUUAACUGUACUUAAAACAACCGAGGUGACACUGAUCAGACCACCACAUGACUGGUUUCAAGAUGACCUUCAGAACUGACUGUGCUGUUCCGCUCCCUCCGCCUACAACCCCGAAACUCUCCUUUAAAAGCCCCUGUCCCCUGAGGAGCCAGCGGGAGUUGGUUCUCAGACGGGAGUCCACCCUCUCCCCCAGUUGCCAGCCUCCGACAUAAAGUCAGCUUUCCAUUCCUACCAACACGUGUCUCUCGAGAAUUGGCUCUCAAGCGGUGAGCAGCCGGACCUGGGUUCGGUAACACUCCCAGUUCUAUCUUUCAAUCCUGAUAAUCUUCAUUUUUCUGUUAAUUAUUCUUCAUCUGUAUUGCUGUAGUGCUGUAGGAUAACUACAUUAUCAGUCAUUUAUUUCUCUUCCUGCGAGCAAUUUUUGAUAGUAAAGACAAUGGGAAGAGUCAGGAAACCUAUGAGGUACCUCGGAGAGAGGAAAGAGGCUAUCACCAAGAGAGGAGAAACAGGUAGGCAGUAACACAAGUCAGAGCAGUAGUGUGGCUUAUGGAGGGAGGCCCAGCGGGUUCUAGUUAAUUCCAUCUCUGAUAUGGGACAAGGUGUUUUCUUUACAACUCCCACUGCUUGUGGGAUGGCAUAAUGGUACAACCUUUGAAAAAUAUUUUGGCAGUUUUGCACAAAGUUAAAUACACACUUUCCAUAUGGCCCAGCCAUUCCACUCCUAGGUAUUUAUGUAAGGGAAACGAAAGCAUCUGUCUACACAAAGACUUAUACAUGAAUGUUCAUAGCAGCUUUUUUUGUAGUAACUAAAAACUGAAAUGUCCAUUUACAGUGAAUGGAUAAACAAGCUGUGGUACAUCCAUACCUUGGAAUACCACUCAACAAUAAAAAGGAAUAAAACAUUGAUAAUGAACAUCAUGAAUGAACUACAGAAUAAUUAUGCAGCGUGAAAGAAUUCAGACAAACAAAAUAUUCUAUUUGAUUUCAUUUUGUAUAAUAUUCUACAAAAUGCAAACUACCUAUAGUGGCAAAAAUAUAUCAGUGUUUACCUUAAGACUGGGGAGGACUGGAGAAAGGGUGUACAAAGGGGCGUGAGGAAAUGUUUGGAUGUGACGGAUGUGUUCAGUGUCUUGAUUGU
Long non-coding RNA from Balaenoptera acutorostrata (minke whale), 1717 nucleotides. RefSeq lists it as uncharacterized. The record is from RefSeq and is a predicted model, not a curated record. Lineage: Eukaryota; Metazoa; Chordata; Mammalia; Artiodactyla; Balaenopteridae. The transcript has 6 exons.